UACGGAGGGUGCGAGCGUUGUCCGGAAUCACUGGGCGUAAAGGGCGCGUAGGCGGUUGGGGAAGUCCGUGGUGAAAGCUCGUGGCUCAACUACGAGUCGGCCAUGGAUACUCCUUGACUUGAGCACUGUAGAGGCAGAUGGAAUUCCGGGUGUAGCGGUGGAAUGCGUAGAGAUUCGGAAGAACACCCAUGGCGAAGGCAGCACUCUGGGCUUGAGCCGCAAGGUUAACCUGACACUGAGGUACGAAAGCCAGGGGAGCGAACGGG
RNAcentral lists this ribosomal RNA (266 nucleotides) under uncultured bacterium. RNAcentral's name for it is "partial 16S ribosomal RNA". It matches the Rfam family "Bacterial small subunit ribosomal RNA", at positions 524 to 776 of the family's 1533-position model. The record is from RNAcentral.